CAGGACUGCGUUACCGCUCCGCCCUUACAUAAGAACUUUCGAUAUCAUCGAAGCAAAUGCGCAGGAAUGAAGCUACUAUCUAGCAUCCUAGUCUUCCUGUCUGUCGCACAAGCUCAUGGUAAGAUCUUCGUCUAAGAAAAUGCACAACAAAUGUAAGAAAGAACCAUAUAUUGGCAGCUGUCAUCCAUUGUAUGGUUUAUGGUACUACGACCCUAACAGAUAUUCCUGUAGAGAGCUGACACCAGGCACAUGCGCCUCUGGGCGAAAUUUGUUCCCCACCCUCAGCGUAUGCAAGAAAACAUGUAUCCCGCUAACACUGGCGAAAGCAAAAAUAUGCCUGAAGCUACCCAUUGAGGGCCCGUGUGGACCGCUGUAUGUCUCUUGGUACUAUGAUAAUGCAAAUCACUAUUGCAAAAUGUUCAACCGCACCAUCUGCGGUGGUGGUGGGAACGAUUUUGUGACGGAAGAGAAGUGCCAAGCUAUAUGCCUGCACAAGAACAAACCUUUGUGCAGCUUGCGGCCCAGUCCAGGAAAGUGCUUGGGAAGCACACUACAGUGGUAUUUUGACGACGUCAGCAACAGCUGUCGUAAGUUCGCAGGUGAUCUCUGUGGCAAAAACGACAAUUCAUUUUCAUCGAAGCGGAAUUGCAUGGAAAGAUGCAGCUAUGUGAAAGCUGCGACGGGUUCCAUAACUGUCGCACACACGAUGCAGAAUACGCUGCCGAGACUGAAUAAAAGUGCCUAAUCUACCGUCCCAAGCCUUGCACUUACUACCUGAUCUGGACGAUUGGACCCCAUGCUCUAAUCAGAAGGCUUCAGUCUAUGAGGACUACAUUAAAUGCAUGACAUCAUUACUGUGCUCAAUGUAAAAUUGUUCGGUUUUAAAGGUCAUCUCGUUUUAAAUACCAUUAAA
Dermacentor albipictus is the source of this 913-nucleotide long non-coding RNA. RefSeq lists it as uncharacterized. Lineage: Eukaryota; Metazoa; Arthropoda; Arachnida; Ixodida; Ixodidae. The record is from RefSeq and is a predicted model, not a curated record.